GCCGGGCAUGGUGGUGCAUGCCUGUAAUCCCAGCUACUUGGGAGGCUAAGGCAGGAGAAUCGCUUGAACCCAGGAGGCAGAGGUUGCAGUGAGCCAAGAUUGCGCCACUGCAUUCAUGCCUGGGCGACAGAGCGAGACUUUGUCUCAA
This is an unclassified non-coding RNA of Pongo abelii (Sumatran orangutan), 148 nucleotides long. It matches the Rfam family "Metazoan signal recognition particle RNA". From Rfam's summary of the family: The signal recognition particle (SRP) is a universally conserved ribonucleoprotein. It is involved in the co-translational targeting of proteins to membranes. The record is from Ensembl. Lineage: Eukaryota; Metazoa; Chordata; Mammalia; Primates; Hominidae.